AGGGUGGAGACUAUGGCCCAAGAGAGCAAAGCUGGAUCAAGACAACGAUAACUUAUGUACUGGCGGUGAUGAUCCGAUGCAGACGAGCGUAAUUCCAACCGCGAGGACAAAGAUAUGGAACCAUCUGUUGUAAAUGGCAGUGGUACUGAAACGGGUCAAGUUAUUACAACCACUGUCGGAGGUCGAGAUUAAAGAUCAUCUAUCUAUAUGGUCACGAGGAGCUUGCUAUAUGUGAAGAUAUAUAUAGAUGUGGAAUGUCUCAAAGAUAUACUCUGGUUUCUAUGGAUGGUGCAUACUGGAGAUGACGUCUUUCCUCAUAUAAAGAAAGAUGACUAUCUGAAUUUAUGUUAUUUUUUUUGUUCCAUUCAGUUUUAACUACAAUCUGUGGUGGUGCAAUAGUUUUAAUGCCUAUUAAUUCUUUUGCAAAGACAGGUCAUAUGGCCGAUACCGGAUUGAUUCUGAGGCAACACCAACAAUAUUGAGUUGUCUAUCGUACAACCUCUGCUACUAGAGAUACUAAGCUUUCCUGUAAGUGUAAACUUUGAACACUGUUUCCAGGCUCAGUGUUUAUGUUUUCUGCUCCAGGUUUCUAAAAAAAUGGUGAAGGCUGUGAGCGGGUCAGGUAGACAGAGAUAGGGAACAAAACAUUUCAAGCUCGCAUGUUGUUGUUGAAGGAGGAAACAGAAGACUUGGUAGCAACCAGGGAGAUCUCAUUGCGGGACAAGUCCCAUUCAGAUAUGCAAGCAGAGCUUCUUUUUUGAAGAAGUCAAUGUGAAUAUCAAGACCAUUAUCUGAAGUUAAAUGCUUAAAGGUAGAAUCGUCUUCCUUGAGAUUGGAACUUGAGAAAGAAAAAUCAGUACUUGACUCAAUCAAACAAAGAGAAGGAAUGGAAUCUAUAGAGGAUGCUACUUUUGAAGAUGAGAAC
This is a long non-coding RNA of Raphanus sativus (radish), 925 nucleotides long. RefSeq lists it as uncharacterized. The record is from RefSeq and is a predicted model, not a curated record. The transcript has 3 exons. Lineage: Eukaryota; Viridiplantae; Streptophyta; Magnoliopsida; Brassicales; Brassicaceae.